This 473-nucleotide ribosomal RNA is filed under the name uncultured bacterium. RNAcentral describes it as "partial 16S ribosomal RNA". It matches the Rfam family "Bacterial small subunit ribosomal RNA", at positions 28 to 507 of the family's 1533-position model. The record is from RNAcentral.
GAUAAACGCUGGCGGCGCACAUAAGACAUGCAAGUUGAACGGACUUAAUCGAAAUAUUUAUAUUUUGAAGAGGUUAGUGGCGGACUGGUGAGUAACGCGUAAGGAACCUGCCUAUUAGAGGGGAAUAACAGUGAGAAAUCAUUGCUAAUACCGCAUAUGCCAUAGAUAUCACAUGAUAACAGUGGGAAAGGAGCAAUCCGCUAAUAGAUGGCCUUGCGUCUGAUUAGAUAGUUGGUGGGGUAACGGCCUACCAAGUCGACGAUCAGUAGCCGGACUGAGAGGUUGAACGGCCACAUUGGGACUGAGAUACGGCCCAGACUCCUACGGGAGGCAGCAGUCGGGAAUAUUGCGCAAUGGAGGAAACUCUGACGCAGUGACGCCGCGUAUAGGAAGAAGGUUUUCGGAUUGUAAACUAUUGUCGUUAGGGAAGAGAAAGGACAGUACCUAAGGAGGAAGCUCCGGCUAACUACGUG